UCCUUUGCUUGGCCAGCCUCGCCAAUCGCCAUGGACGCCAGCAAGCUUCUGUCCGGUUCAACGGUAGUGUUUCGCAGUCACUCCCUCAAGUUCGUUAAGUUGCUAGCUCCAGCUCCGGUUUCUUGACACCUCCUUCUUUGAAGAAGUCGUCCUCGUUCACGGCGACUUCGUCUUUGACCCUGCCCGGGAGAAAACCUCCAGUGCCUGUCGUGCGGCGGAGGUUAGCGCUGAAAUGCGGCGCUGUUGCUGGAGGUAUAACCGAAAUCGAUGAGAGCCAGUUCGCUGAUACGGUGUUGAAAAGCAACCGGCCUGUGCUGGUGGAGUUCGUGGCCGACUGGUGUGGUCCUUGCCGCUUAAUCUCUCCCGCUAUUGAGUGGGUGGCUCAGGAAAUCGAGGAUUCUGAAGGUUCAAUCCAGUGAGCUAUCUUUCUGGAAGUUGUCGAUAAGCUUCCGAUUGCGCGGAGGAACCACUUUUUGAUAUCGGGG
Non-coding RNA from Punica granatum (pomegranate), 485 nucleotides. The record is from RefSeq and is a predicted model, not a curated record. Lineage: Eukaryota; Viridiplantae; Streptophyta; Magnoliopsida; Myrtales; Lythraceae.